GUGAACUACAUCUGUUUUGGCACGACAAAUAAGUUAGUUACUUGUAGAACCAGCCUAAAAAUGUACUAUUAGAUGUCAAGUGAGAGUUGGUUUGUGACAGCCGCUGCGCCGCUCACUGUCACCGGGAAGGGGGCGGGAUGGACCAAAGGGAGGAGUGACUUUUCAAAAAUAGUACGCUUCAGCACAGCAGCGAACCGGUACAGCCGCGGCGGCGGGCGGGUACGGAGAGUUCGAAACAUGGUUCGUUACGGAAAUAAAUAACUGGACCGGGAGACGAUAUUAUUUAAACCAAAGAGGAGGCUUCAAAACACGACGAAAAGUAGAAGCGGGUAUUUCCAGGUAGAAGAAAACUGGGUUGCAGCUAGCUGAAGUCAGUGCCACACGUUUCAGUGUUGAUGUUGGUAUUUGGCCACGAAUAACGUUAACGUUACCUGCCGAAAAUAGUCACGACGUCCUAUAUUGAGGCUCCUCUGUCCUGUGUGACCCCCUGACACAGAGAGGAUGGUGAUGGAGGAGGGGGGGCAGAGAGACAGAGGGAGGGGGACUCCAGCGACACCAGGAGCAGAGGGGAGACAGAUCUUUGUGGAGAUGGGGGAGCAGAACUUCGAUGGUAUUUGUCUCUCUACAUAUCGAACAGCCUGCAAGCUCAGAUUCAUACAGAAGAGAUGCAACUUACAUCUGAUCGACAUAUACAACGUGAUUGAGGCGGUGCGGGACGCUGGUCUGAACGCCGUAGAGCUGAACGCCGGCAUCUCUGUGACCAGACUGGAGAACCUGGUGUCCUCCCUGUUCAACCAGCUCAGCAAGCGCCUGCCCACAACACACACCAUCAACCCGCGAGAGAGUACCGUCCUAUUAGUCGAAUUCUUACUCGCUGCCAUUGACAGUGAGCCAAAUAGCCGUCUGACGGUGCUGUCUGUGAAGGCAAUGCUGGCCACACUGUGUGGAGGGAAACUGGUAGAUAAACUCCGCUAUGUGUUUUCUCAGGUAUCUGACUCCAGUGGCGUGUUGGUACAGUCCAAGUUUGAUGGUUUUCUGAGGGAGGCUCUCAGGCUGCCCACCGCUGUACAUGAAGGGCCGUCCUUUGGCUACACACACACCUUAGCACGCUCAUGCUUCCCACAACAGAAGAGGGUGAUGCUCAACAUGUUCCUGGACAUCGUAGUUGACCCUCCUCAGUGUCUUGUAUGGCUGCCUCUCAUGCACCGCCUGGCCAAUGUGGAACAUGUUUAUCAUCCUGUGUCAUGCUCCUUCUGUCGUGGAAACGGUAUGACAGGCUUCCGCUAUCGCUGCCUCCGUUGCCGUGGAUACCAGCUCUGCCAAAACUGCUUCUGGCGCGGCAACGCCAGCGGCUCUCAUAGCAACCAGCAUCAGAUGAAGGAGCACUCGUCCUGGAAGUCACCGGCGACAAAGCUUGGCCGAGCCCUGAGCAGGACUUUGGGCUGUGUGUCGUCCAGAGAGCCCCCUCAUCCAAUUUACCCAGAGGAACCUGAGAGGACCCUAAACCUCGCCAACAUAGUCCCAUCUCGCCCUGUUAGGAACACCAGUGAGGCCAUGUUGCUGUCCUCAUCAGUGCCCGAGUCCUCCAAGAGUUUGGCAGCCGCUCAGCGCAUGAACGAGGAACACGCUCUAAUCGCUGCGUAUGUGAAUCGCCUCCAGAGCAGCCCAUGUAGUGUGGACAGUCCCAGCAGACAAGAUGAGGAGCACAAACUGAUCGCCCGCUACACCUCCCGACUGGCAGAGACUGACGGUGCAGGAAUGAUACCUAACCGAAGCAUCAACUUUGAUGUGAACAAACAGAAGAGGGAGCUCAUUGCUCAGCUGGAGUGCAAAAACAGAGAGAUCUUGGCAGAGAUCAGACGUCUCCGUGUAGAGCAUGACGCAGCGUGCCAGGCCAGCCCGGAGAAAGGCAGCACCAACCCAACUCUUCUGGCUGAGCUUCGUCUGCUCAGACAAAGGAAAGAUGAGCUGGAGCAGAGGAUGUCGUCUCUGCAAGAGAGCAGGAGGGAACUGAUGGUACAGCUGGAGGGACUGAUGAAGCUGCUGAAGGCGCAGGCGGCUGGCUCUUCUCAAGCCUCUCCUUCUCGACCAAGUCCAUCAACCGUCCGCGGUGUGGGUGCUGCAUCUCCCCAGGGUCACAUGUACCCUCAUCAAGAUUCACUCGCUGGGGUGGGUGGUGACGUACAAGAAGCAUUCGCCCAAGGCCCGAGAAGGAACCUGAGGAACGACCUUCUGGUAGCAGCUGACUCCAUCACCAACACUGUGUCCUCACUGGUCAAAGAGCUCCACUCUGAUGAUGCUCGGGAGGAAGAGGAGAGAUUGCUCAACGGGAAGGACAGAGCGACGUCAUGUAAAUCCCAGCAGAGCUUUACACAACUCCAACCUGAGUCGGACUGAUCAGCGACAUAACUGAAAACACCUGUGUGGGUGCUCUCGUCUGUACUGCAGCAAGCUUCAUUACCGUACCAUCUCAUUAGAAAUGCUUUAUGGAGCCUCUCUUUACAAGAGGACCGCCUGCAGAGACAAAGUGGUGAAACUACUUCCUGGUCUGCUCCGCUGGCUCAGACUAAAAAGUUUUUAGAAAACUAACCUGCAGUACUAACCCACCGACCCUGAACACCCAGACAGACAGGAGGCCAGGGUUCAGCCCCAUGUUCAACAGACAGGUUAAAAAUGGUCGCAGGACAAACAAAAACAGCAGAGUGGUGUUUCAUCACGGCCAAAGAAGACUGACCCGUCUUCUAUAUUCACCGUUAGCCAAUGGGGAUUAGAACUCCACUGCUAAUCAACCAAUCACAAUGCUGGACACCAAAUGGCCGCUGGGUUCCUACUGAUGUAUAGCUGUGAUUCUGUGUGUGUCUUGUCACUGUGGUUUUACUUAAGUUCUGAUCGUGCAUAGCUAAACGAGGAAUCUGAAACCUACUGAUUUGUACUGUAGCGCUGGCGUGUGUGUGUGUGUGUGUGUGUGUGUGUGUGUGUGUGUGCUCUGCAUUGUCAAGGUGCGAGAGGGUCGAGUAAGUGAGAGGGACACGAAAGAUAGAAAAGAGACGAAAAAAGAUGGGUUUAGCAAAUUUGUAUAGGAUUAAAGUUUAAGGAUGGAGAUACAGGUUGUAUGGAGGAGAAAAGUGGAUGAAAAACGAAAUGAAAAGAAAGUUAAACAGAUGAGAAGUGAGAUGUAACGUUAUAAGUUUCGGCACUGUGUGCUUCGUAUUUAUUGCUUUUGAUUUUUGCCAUUUAUUCAUUCAGUUUGAGUGUUUCUGUGUAUGUGCAUGAGGGUGGUCAGGCCCUGCUGAGAUGCUGAGCUUUAAUGGAUGUUUCCUUCUGUAUCAAGCCCUGACUGCCCCCUGUUGUAGUGAUGCAGGGUGGAAAGUUAAAGCCUCGUCCUGCUCCAGGUGUCUGAAACCUGGAUGAGAUUAGUGUGAUGGGUGCUGGUGUGAUAGCAGCUCAGGUUGUCCAGGAAUAUAUGUGUAUAUCUGUACUGCAGUGAGACUCCAGUCAAAGAGGGAGAUACCUGAUUAAUGUUGUGAAUAUGUGUUCGUGUUUGUGUGACAGAGAGAGAGAAUAUAAAGUGUCAGUGUAGUAACAGAGCAGCAAAGUGGGCUCUAAAAGUAUUUAUCCCCAACAAUGUUCUUUUAAAGAGUCAGUUUACCCAAAAUACAAUUUAUUUUUUUUUUAUAGCUUAGUAUCCCAUGAUAAAGCUGAGGGUUCACAAGUUUAUUGAAGUAAUAACGAAGGAAAAUCAUUCUUUUAUUGUGAAUUUAUUUUCUUACUCUCACCUCUUCAGGACUCAAAAAUCCUGAAGAGGUGUUCACAUAAAUUUUUUGUGUAACAAAUAAUUUAUUGCAUUUCGAUAGAAGAACACACUUUUAGCUCCAGUAAACAUAUUUGAAGUGCUUCAUUUUUAAAUGUCACAUCUCAGAAAGCUGUGGUGGUGUCAAGUAGAGCUAAAAGAUUUGGAAAAAAUAUCUAAUUGCCAUUAUUUUUGACUGGUUGAUCAUUGUAAGAUCAUUGUUCUCAUUUUCAUUGAAAAACAUAAUAAAAUUAAUUAUAAAGAUGUUUUCUUAAGUUAGUAGAAAGCCAGGACUUCUCUGCAGCAUGAUGAUAUUUAAUUUGAAAAAAAUGGUAUUGUGACACACAUUUACCCUUUAACAAAUACUGCCUCCUGCGAUUUGAAAAUUGCAGUAGGCCAUAUUGUGAUUAUGAUAAAAUUUUAAUUAACUGUUCAGCCCUAGUAUCAAGCCAUGCAGAUAGUUUAGGCUUGAUUUUUCCAUGUUUGGAGAUAUUUUCCUCCACCCUUGUACAAUAUAGCAAUAAAUCAUAACAGAAACAUGACAUUUAUAAUAAUAAAUAAAUAAAACACAGUGAACACUUCAGGCUGGAACUUCUUUUUUGAAGACGUACUGUAGUGUUUAAGAAAUCUGUUCCUUUUUUGAUAACCUCGGUGUACUUCAACGGUAAUUUAACAACAUAAAUUAUGGUAGGCUGUUAAAGAGUAAGUUAUCGAUCUUGCAAGUGGAAUGUCUCUUAUUACUACAUUACCCAUGAGCCUCUGCAUCUAGUGCUAUGGAGGGGAUUCAACCAGUUUAAUGUUCCAACUGCCAAAAAUUAAUGGGCUUUUACUUUCUAAACACUGCCUGCCUAAAAUAACCCCUCUCACUUUGCUACUCUUUGAUGUCUUUCAAGCUUCCUGUAAAAUACAGGGGAUUAUGGGAGUUUGAGUUCUCUGUGUCACACCCAGCACCCAAAAAUGUAUCAGACUGAUAAUAUCUGUAUGCAAAUCACACACGACCCAAAGUGACUAACUGUAUCAGGUCAGGUUGAUUUAUUUUUACAGAUGUAAGAUAAUUUUAUUAAAAACAUGUUUUUCAACAGCAUUUCAGGGUUUUGGUGUUCACAGGAAUCUGUACUUAACUGUAUUGUACAUUUUUGGAUCACUUUUCAGUUGAACAGUUUGUCUUUUCUUUCAGACUUUGCCAGCCCUCCACAUUGUUUGACUGACAGCUUGCGACUGGUAUUCUCAGUCCGCUGAAUGAUUGGACUGACUGUAUGACUGAUUUAAUAAAUGAAUGAGCGCAUGUUUCAGUGUGUGUGUGGAAGAGAGAGUGAAAAGACUGACAGGACAAACGCGUCCUGACAUGAAACUGUAAACACCAUCAGCUCUAAAACUGCUGGAGCUGACAAUGUGAGUGAAAACUAUUGAUCUGUGUUUCAUCUGCAAUAAAUAAUAUUUAACGUCAA
RNA transcript from Micropterus dolomieu (smallmouth bass), 5238 nucleotides. It is a transcript of the gene named dystrobrevin beta-like, with no coding region annotated. The record is from RefSeq and is a predicted model, not a curated record. The transcript is spliced from 23 exons. NCBI's taxonomy places the organism in Eukaryota, Metazoa, Chordata, Actinopteri, Centrarchiformes, Centrarchidae.